This is an RNA transcript of Phyllostomus discolor (pale spear-nosed bat), 5256 nucleotides long. It is a transcript of the gene named ankyrin repeat domain 42, with no coding region annotated. NCBI's taxonomy places the organism in Eukaryota, Metazoa, Chordata, Mammalia, Chiroptera, Phyllostomidae. The transcript is spliced from 11 exons. The record is from RefSeq and is a predicted model, not a curated record.
CGGAAGUUUUCGUUUCCAAGGCGACGGCUCUGUGGGCGCUCCAAGCAGAUGGCGGGAGUCAGAACGCUGUAAAGUUACUCCAAGGGGAGCGUACCCGUGUCCGGCGGUCGCCGCCACAGCGACUCGCAGGGAAUAGCAGCCGAAGACGGCGGCCGCCACAACUGGCCCUCGUGUGUGGAGGAUAAACGGCCGACCCAGCCAUCGCGGCGGCUGGUCAAAGGAAAGAGGUAGCGAAGAUCAGGAGUUCAGUUUCAGCGAAGACAGGGAAAGAACCCUUGAAGAUGAUGACCGUCGCUGCAGCGUCUCUACGGGAAGCGUAAGUGAGGACGUUAUCUUUUCCAUCAGUAACUCCAGAAGGGUCAGUGAAGACCUGGGCCACCGCCGCGCUGGUUCUCCGGAGACAGUUAGGAGAGAUGGUGGCCAUGGUCACAGCAGCUCUUGGGAGAGAGUGAGAGGAGACCGCGGAUUUGGCAGCAGCGACGUCCGUUUCCGUGAAGUGGGCGGCCACCAGUCUAGUGACUCUGGAGGAACCGUCAGAGAAGACUGCGGCCUCCAUCUCAGUGGUACCUGGGAGGGGGUCAAGGAAGUCCGCGGCCCCGGAACCAGCGACCCGGGGGAGAGAGGCAGUGAAGACCGCAGCCGCCGCCUCAGUGGCUCUUGGGGAGGAGGGAGUGUCGAUGGCGGCCCCAGCUUUAGUAGUUCCUGGGAGGGAGUAAGUGAAGACCGCGGCUACGCGGCCAGCGACUCCUCCCGGGUGAGCGGCAGCCAAGACUCCUGCCGCCGCCUCAGUGGUUUCUGGGAGAAGGAAAGUGAAGACGGAGGGUUCCGCUGCAGGGGCUCCUGGGAGGGAGCAAGGAAGGACGGCGGCCCUGGUCCUAGCGAAGACGAAGGCGGCCGCUGCAGUGGCUCAUGGGUGACAGCCAGUGAAGACCGUCGUGGCAGCAGGGGCCUGGACUCUUCUCCUCCCCGGAGUCCGUGGGAUCGCACCAUGCCUGGGGUGCCCGGGUCAGGCCCUUCCACCUCCUCUGCGGAGAACACAACGCCGUGCGCCAGGAGGAAAGUGCAUUUUGGUAGCAUACAUGAUGCAGUAAGAGCUGGAGAUGUAAAGCAGCUUUCAGAAAUAGUAGAACGUGGAACCAACAUUAAUGAAGUUGACAUCAUCCAUAAAUUUACCCCUUUACAUUGGGCAGCACAUUCUGGAAGUUUGGAGUGUCUUCAUUGGCUCCUCUGGCAUGGAGCUGAUAUUACACUAGCAACUACGAGAGGUUGGACAGCAGCUCACAUAGCUGCAAUCAGGGGUCAGGAUGCAUGUAUGCAGGCUCUUAUAAUCAAUGGAGCAAAUCUGGCUGCUCAGGAUGAUCGUGGUUGCACUCCUGUACACCUUGCUUCUACACAUGGACAUUCUUUCACUUUACAAAUAAUGCUCCGCAGUGGAGUGGAUCCCAGCAUAACUGAUGUUAGAGAAUGGAAACCUGUACAUUAUGCAGCUUUUCAUGGACGGCUUGGCUGUUUGCAACUUCUGGUUAAAUGGGGAUGUGGCAUAGAAGAUGUGGACUACAAUGGAAACCUUCCAGUUCACUUAGCAGCCAUGGAAGGACACCUUCACUGUUUUAAGUUUCUACUCAGUAGAAUGAGCAGUGCAACACAAGCUUUAAAAGCAUUCAAUGAUAAUGGAGAAAAUGUACUGGAUCUGGCCCAGAGGUUCUAUAAGCAGAACAUUUUACAGUUUAUCCAGGGGGCUGAGUAUGAAGGAAAUGAUCCAAAAGACCAGGAAACUUUAGCAUUUCCAGGUCAUAUGGCUGCCUUUAAGGGUGAUUUGGAAAUGCUUAAAAAAUUAAUAGAAGAUGGAGUAAUCAAUAUUAAUGAACGUGAUAAUAAUGGAUCAACUCCUAUGCAUAAAGCUGCUGGACAAGGCCACAUAGAGUGUUUGCAGUGGAUAAUUAAAAUGGGAGCAGACAGAAAUAUUAUCAACAAAGCAGGGGAGAAACCCAGUGAUGUGGCUAAGAGGUAUCCUUAUCUCUUUUGUUCCCUUUUUGUUUUGUUUUUAAAGUUUUGCAUAUAGUCUUUUAUGCUCAGAAAUCUCUGAAGAUUUAAUGAAUUAUAGGACUCAAAUACUGAUGGAAUGACAAUAUUCAAGUUGAAUAGACAUUUGACAAUGUAUCAACUCUUCUCUCUAAAACCGUGAUUUUAAACUGGGAGGUAGUAUUGUCCCCUUUCCUUGUGGGGGGAGCAUUUGGAAAUAUGUAGGGGUUUGUCACAAUUACUAGUGACUAUCAUUAAUAUUUAGUGAAGUUAGGUCCAGGAAUGGUUAAGUACUAUAUGUUCUACAGUACUCAGAAUAGUGGUACACAGCACAGAAUAAUUACCAAAUGCUGGUACCUGUUGAGAAAUACUGUGUGCUAAAAAGGGGUAAUCAAAAGGAGCCACAUAGCUUUUGAAACAAAUUUUGAUAUUUACAUUUGGAUUAAAUAUAACACCUAUUAUCAAAUGCCUCUAGCUCAUUCAGGUCAGGUCAAGCCCAUUCUUUUGUUUAUUUGGUUGGUUUUUACAAAUUCAACUUAUCAUGUUUCAACUUAUCAACAUAUCAUGUUUCAAGUGCUACAGUUAGUGUUAGGAUUACAAAGAUGAAAAAACAGUUCUUGCCCUCAUAGGAGCUUAGAGUCUUGUGGAGAGAUAAAUUAUAAUUAUUGUAAUAAUCAUUAUUAAUUAUAAUCAUUUUGUGUAAACAUAACUAGUGAUUAUAAUCAUUGUAUCGUAUUACAUCAUAUAUAAGGUAUAGUAAGAACAUAGGAGACUUGCACAAGUCUUCCUAUUUGAAAGUUGUGGGGGAGAAAUAUUAAUACAGAUGAUGUUAAGUGUUAUGAAGGAAACUGUAGGAGCACAGAAUUUAUAUAGAGGUCAAGGAAAAUUAUUUUUUUGGAGAAAGCAACACUUAUGCUGACGCUUGAAGGAGAAAGAGCUAUAACAAAACAUUUGUGUGUUUCAGGAACUGCAUGUGGGUUCAGUACUGCUUAAAUCUCAAGUAGGAGUGCGUACCCUGGCCAGGUACCUCAGUUGGUUGGAGCAUCACACUAAUAUGCCAAGGUUGCAGGUUCGAUCCCAAGUCAGGGCACAUACAAGAAUGGACCAAUGAGUGCAUAAGUAAAUGGAACAACAAAUCAGUCUUGCUCUCUAAAAUCAAUAAAUUAAAAACAAUAAAGUAGGAAUGUAGUCUAACAGAUGCAAAUGAGUCUUGAAAGGACGCAGAACCUAAUCAUUCAUUAAAUUGACAUGCAAUUUUUGUUUGUGAGUUCAUGUUUCUUAAAAUUUUGUCUGUGGAAUUUCUUUGAAACUUUGGAGUGUAUUUUCAUUGUACCUAGGUUCAUAAUUAAUUGAGCCCACUUUAUUUUUAUAAAUACCUUUAUCAAGGUAUAAUUGGCAUACAAUAAAGUAUACACAUACUUGUACAGUACAAAUUAAUGAAUUCUGAUCUGUGUAUACAUAUACCCAUGAAACCAUCACAAUCAAGAUAGUGAAUGUAUUCAUGAACCCCCACAAUCUUCUUGUGCUCUUUUGUAAUCUCUCUCCUUCUCACUGCUGGCUCCCCCAGGCAAACACUGAUCUGCUUUUUGUCACUAUGGAUCAGUUUUCAUUUCUAGAGUUUUAUAUGAAUGGAACCAUACAGUCUGUACUCAUAUAUCUGGGUUCUUUCACUCAGCAUAAUUAUUUUGAGAAUUCAUAUGCAUUAUAGUUCAUUUCUUUCUUAUUGCUGAGUAGCAUUCCAUUGGAUAUAGAAUUCCAAUGGAAUAUUCUAUAAUUUAGCUACUAACUUGUUGAAGGAGAUAGUGAUUGUGUCCAUUUUUUUGUGAUUAUGAAUAAAGCUGCUGUAAAUAUUCACACACAGGCUUUUGUGUGAAUAUAAAUUUUCAGUUCACUUUGGUAAAUUCUUAGGGGUAGUAUUGCUGGGUCAUAUGCUAUGGGUAUCUUGAACUUUACAAGAAACUGCAAAAGUACCUUCCAAAGUGAUUGUAGCAACUUGCAUUCCCACCACCAGUAUUGCAUCCACAGUUUCAGUGGAAACUGUGGUUAUGUAAGUGUAUGAAAAAAUAGAAUUUGGGAUUUUUGUGUUUAGCGAGUAAUUCUCCAUUUUCUAAGAGAAAGCAUUAAACAUCUCAGUUAGCAAAACUGUAGAAAAAUAUGCAGAUUACACGAAUUUACAACCACUCCCAAACCAAGGGUAUAUUACUAAAAGAUUCAUAGCGAUGUGGGAAAGAUCAAAGAAAAUAGAAGAUAUGGAUGGGAAAAGUCAUUAUUUUCCCAUUAAAUUUAAAGCUAUGCUAAGUGCUUUGGAUUGAGGAAUGAUGAAUACUAAGGGGGCUAGACCUAUAGUUAGCCUUAAAACUGGAACCAGAACUAAUUCUACAGUCUAAACUUGGUCAUCAGAGAAAGACAGUAAAUGCAGGUGAUCAAAUAGGGUGGUUUUGGGCUUUCUGUACAAUUUAGCAAAUCUGUUUGGGUCUCCUCUCCCAGUUGGGUUUUUGCCAAUAAAAGUUAUGGAAUCUGUCUUUAAUGUGACUGUUUGCCCUUAGUGUCCAGUGACUGUUUGAGUUUCCCAUGUAGCUAACAUCAAAUUGACCCUGAUUUUCAGAUACAGUUUUGCUCCUUUACUGGUGGGUAGGCUGGCGGCGUAAUGUACAGAGUGUAAUUCCCUAAAUUAAGUUCAAACUGCAGUUUCAAUUAGAAAAUUGUGCUUCUCGUUAAUUGUUGAUUUUUUUUCUACAGGUUUGCCCAUUUAGCAGCAGUAAAGCUGUUAGAGGGGCUACAGAAAUAUGAUGUAGAUGAUGAGGAUGAAAUUGAUGAAAAUGACACGAAAUUUUUUAUAAGACAUGGUGUUGAGGGAAGCACUGAUGCCAAAGAUGAUUUAUGUCUUAAUGAGUCGGAUAAAACAGAUGCCAGAAUGAGAGCCUAUAAGAAAAUUGUAGAACUGAGACAUCUCCUGGAAAUUGCUGAGAGCAACUAUAAACACUUGGGAGGGAUAACAGAAGAGGAUCUAAAGCAGAAGAAAGAACAACUGGAGUCUGAAAAGACUAUCCAAGAGCUGCAGGGCCAGCUGGAGUAUGAACGCCUACGCAGAGAACAAUUAGAAUGUCAGCUGGAUGAGUGUCGAGCAGAGGUGGAUCAACUUAGGGAGACCCUGGAAAAUACUCAGGUCCCCAACUUUAUCGCAGUGGAAAAUGCCUCUUCUUGUGAGUCAAGCAAAGAGAAGAGGCGAGUGAA